UGUGGGCAGUCCGAGGGUGCUUCCCGGAGGGGUGAGCACCGCAGAGGAAGAGCAGUGGCCGUGACGGUCCCCAGCGUGGGCAGGUGUCACCCCCUGCACGGGGCCUCCCUGCUCCAGCUGGACACGCGUCCUCCGCCGACGGCACGCCCGCCUCGUGGCCUGCCGGACAAGGACCGCAGGGCUCCCAGCCCCCGUAACGCAGCAGCCAACACGGCACAGCAAAUCCCUCUCUGGAAAUGUAUGCGUUUCCUCUUGGUUCUUUCUCUGGGGAGCCUGACACAGCCUCCAGUGACCUCCUUAAGCAGCAGAGGCCACUAAGAGUCUUCCCGUUUGUCCCUGGACCCUGUCCCGCCAGAAGGCGGAAACAGUGAGGAGAUUCAGGCCAGGGCCCAGAAGAGAAAGGGCCUUUGUCCUCCCCGGAGCCGAAUCGCGCUGGCUUUCACACACACACACACACACACAGACACACAGACAACGGACACUUAGCCCUCUGUGUUUCUGGUUCUCAGUAUUCACAGACGGUGACCCAGGGCAAGCACGAUGGAAGGGGAACAGCAUCUUGUGUGCAGAACCCGCCCGGAAUUCAGUGCCGUCAUUUGUAAAAAUCCUUCCAGGAAGAGGAAGUGAGGGCCCCAGCGGCAGAAAGGCCCACGGGGGGAACAGGUGGAAACCGCCAAGGCAAACGUCCGUCCAUGUAGCACCCGAGACGCGAGAUUCUGUUCAGCCCCGUGCCGGCCGUGUGUGCGUGCCAGGCCGGUCCCCACCAGUGUUCGCAACCCUGCUGUAGGAGGCACCUCAGGACUCUGCUGUCCUGACCGAAGCCACGCAAACCGGCCUCACGAUGGAUCGGCCCCCGGUGAGGCACCCUCUCGGAUUCUCGAGCAGACGGUGUGCCCCCUGCCCCGCGGGCUGUAAGUCAGACUGAGUCGCCUGUUGAAUCCCAAAAACCACCCAACAUUUUCAAGAGUAAACAUUUCCUAAACAGCAACAGCUGUGGGGCAGCAUUUAGCUGAAGCAGGACCCGGGUCCUGACCUCGCAGUUCCCAGGAUCGCUGCCUGAAGGGGAACAGCAUUGUUAGCCUGACAGACUUUACGUGGAGUUAGUCCUGCGUUAUUCCAGACGCGGUUGUCUAAACCCGGGGGAACGUGGCAGCCUCUCGGGGCCUGUGCAAUACUAUUUAAAUGGCUCUACGAUGCUGAUACCGUGGUGGACACGAUGUGCAUUUUGAUAAGUGCAAUGGUAUCAUUACUGCUCAGAGUUUAGAGAGUUUCCGGAUUAUGCCACCGGAGCAGAAGGAAAUGUCUGCGGAAUGAACUGCCAAGGUGAGCAUCCGGUUUGCAGAGACACCAGAGGACCCAGGCCCGGAUCUCGUUGCUCGAUGUGCCCGAGAACUGCAGAACUCCGGGCAGAUGGGACUACCCAAACCCGGGCACUGGGACCUGGAGCCUGUGAGGCUGUGUCCUGGGGGAGCGCUGGACCCACCCGCGAGAGUCCCGUAAGAAGCCGGGAGCCUCCAGGAGAAUUCACCAUCCAGCCAGCGCAUGACCCCGCUUGGAGCAUUUACUGGAAAGGACUCGGAGCCCCGACUGCUGUCUCUGGGAUGUGUACGCCCCUCCCACCCACAGGAGCGUCUUGCCCAAGGACCUGAGAGCCGUUCCUUGGAAACGGAAUCAUCAGGAGGGACCUCCGUGUCCUGGUCCCUGCAGAGAGGGUGGGGUCCCAACUCAGGUCACGGCCAGCAGGCAGGCACGCCCGUCUCCUCGCAUUAACACUGUGCAGCCCUCUGCGGGUGGUCACUGUGCCCACUUCCCCGUCCCUCCUCCCUCAGUGCCCCUUGACAACACCAUCACCUCCGCACAAAUGCCACUCUGUGCCCUGGCUCCUUCUCUACUGUCAGGAGGGGCAACAAAACCUGGUGUCACCACGGUGAUGUCCAGCGGUGACGGCCUGACGUGCUUCGGAGGCCAGCAGUUCAGGCACCCGCAGCCGCGCCUUUCCCGUGGCAGGAGACCAGGGGCCCCCGCCGUGUCUUCUGGGCUGCGCUGACACCCACCCCCCUCACGACAGGGCAUCAGCCUCUCUGACUGCUCCUUACAGCGCACCUCACAUCCUUCGUCGUGUUUGUGCAGCUGACUUGAAGGGAGGGGGCCCCACCACAGUGGGGGUGGACCGAGGAGCCCCUGGGCCGGGGCUGGAGUCUCUACUCCACACUGAGGUGUCAGCAUGCUCCCGGAGAGUCUGAGGGGACGGGGAGGGACGUCCCUCAGACAGACGCUCGGCGUGACAACAGCCGAGGGUGAGGUUCACCUCAGACCCUCUCCACUGAUGUUUAAAAUCCAUGCAAGCCCAGCCUUUCCACUCAGCACCAGUUAGGGUCUGAAGGGGGCAGGAGAUCUGGUGCUGGGAGUCGAGCAGGGGGUUCCGAGCCCCCACAAAGGCAGCCAGAGGCCGAGGCCUGAACAUCUAGGCCCAGUGUCCUCUGUGGAGUCGGGCCAGGUGGAGGCUGGGAUGGCACCCCCAGAGAGGAGGUGCCUCCAGGCCACCAGAAAGAGGACGGGGGACAGAAGGGCCUCGGACGGGCCAGGGCGGGGAGCAAGAAGGGAAUCCUCAGGGACGGGAGGACAAGGGGGUCCUGUGUGGAGCCAGGCCCGGCCCCUGUGUCCUGUCUGCCUCUGGGACCCACGGCUGGCGGGCACUUUGCUCUGUGUUAACGGACCGGCGGCCAGGGCAGCCCAGAGCUUAGGGCCGACCCUCAGAAGAUACACCAGUGGUUGCUGAAUGACUGACUAGUUGAUGAGCCUGCAAAGAGUCCAACAAAAGCCUCACCCGCCCUCACAGCCCAGACAGGACAGCACGACCCUCCCCCCGUGCUCUUGACUCCCACUGCUUCUGACACAAACAAAAACACCUCAACUGCUCUUUAAAUUGUAGCCUCGCGGUCUGUGAACAGAGUCUGAAACCCCAGCGGUGUCUGCACACUGAGCCUCUGGCCCGUGGUUCUCGAACAAUCCCUGCAGUGGGCCGCUCUGGGGGGCACGACUCCAGGCCACAUCCACGUGAGGGGUGAGUCACCCCCGCCGUGCGGGGCAGGAGGCCGGGGGCACAAAGGGCUGGUGAACGUGCCCACGGCCAGAGGACGGUCGGGCAGCCCUCACGCGGUCUGGCCUCCGCCACACUUACUCAGGCUGUGAGUAAGAACCA
Long non-coding RNA from Leopardus geoffroyi (Geoffroy's cat), 3202 nucleotides. RefSeq lists it as uncharacterized. The record is from RefSeq and is a predicted model, not a curated record. The transcript has 3 exons. Lineage: Eukaryota; Metazoa; Chordata; Mammalia; Carnivora; Felidae.